RNAcentral lists this ribosomal RNA (631 nucleotides) under uncultured bacterium. RNAcentral's name for it is "bacterial SSU rRNA". It matches the Rfam family "Bacterial small subunit ribosomal RNA", at positions 9 to 652 of the family's 1533-position model. The record is from RNAcentral.
GAGUUUGAACCUGGCUCAGGAUGAACGCUGGCGGCGUGCCUAAUACAUGCAAGUCGAGCGAACCACUUUGGUGGUGAGCGGCGAACGGGUGAGUAACACGUAGGUGAUCUGCCCAUCAGACGGGGACAACGAUUGGAAACGAUCGCUAAUACCGGAUAGGACGAAAGUUUAAAGGUGCUUCUGGCACCGCUGAUGGAUGAGCCUGCGGCGCAUUAGCUAGUUGGUAGGGUAAAGGCCUACCAAGGCGACGAUGCGUAGCCGACCUGAGAGGGUGAACGGCCACACUGGGACUGAGACACGGCCCAGACUCCUACGGGAGGCAGCAGUAGGGAAUCCUCGGCAAUGGGCGAAAGCCUGACCGAGCAACGCCGCGUGAAUGAUGAAGGCCUUCGGGUUGUAAAAUUCUGUUAUAAGGGAAGAACGACUUUAGUAGGAAAUGGCUAGAGUGUGACGGUACCUUAUGAGAAAGCCACGGCUAACUACGUGCCAGCAGCCGCGGUAAUACGUAGGUGGCGAGCGUUAUCCGGAAUUAUUGGGCGUAAAGAGCGCGCAGGUGGUUGAUUAAGUCUGAUGUGAAAGCCCACGGCUUAACCGUGGAGGGUCAUUGGAAACUGGUCGACUUGAGUGCAGA